This 402-nucleotide ribosomal RNA is filed under the name marine bacterium SIMO-4496. RNAcentral describes it as "bacterial SSU rRNA". It matches the Rfam family "Bacterial small subunit ribosomal RNA", at positions 58 to 455 of the family's 1533-position model. The record is from RNAcentral.
CAAGUCGAGCUGGUAACUUGAAUUCUCUUGCUAAUUUGCUGACUAACGGCUGAGAGCUGACUCACGCGUACGAAUCUGCCUGGUGAUGGGGGACAUCAUGUGGAAACCCCCCUUCAUGGGAAAGACUCCCUACAGAGGGAAGGACGGGAUCUUCAUUCCUUUCUUGGUGGGGUAAUCCUGCAUGAGAUUAGCUAGUUGGUGGGGUAAAGGCUCACCGAGGCGACAAUCUCUAACUGGUCUGAGAGGAUGAUCCCCCACACUGGCACUGAGACGGAACCCUGACUCCUGCGGGAGGCACCAGUGGGGAAUAUUGGACAAUGGGGGCAACCCUGAACCACCCGUGACCUCUGUCUGUAGUCCGCCUUAGGACUGUAACCCACUAUCAGGAGCCAGUAAGGUUGU